This 250-nucleotide ribosomal RNA is filed under the name uncultured bacterium. Its description in RNAcentral is "partial 16S ribosomal RNA". It matches the Rfam family "Bacterial small subunit ribosomal RNA", at positions 524 to 773 of the family's 1533-position model. The record is from RNAcentral.
UACGGAGGGUGCGAGCGUUAAUCGGAAUUACUGGGCGUAAAGCGCGCGUAGGCCGCUUUGUAAGUCAGAGGUGAAAUCCCAGCGCUCAACGUUGGAAUAGCCUUUGAUACUGCAGAGCUUGAGUUCGUGAGAGGGUGGCGGAAUUCCUGGUGUAGGAGUGACAUCCGUAGAGAUCAGGAGGAACACCGGUGGCGAAGGCGGCCACCUGGCACGAUACUGACGCUGAGGUGCGAAAGCGUGGGGAGCAAAC